CUCUGUUUCUAAAGGAAUCAGGGCAAAAAGGAG
This 33-nucleotide non-coding RNA is filed under the name unclassified sequences. RNAcentral's name for it is "L31-Firmicutes ribosomal protein leader". It matches the Rfam family "L31-Firmicutes ribosomal protein leader". The record is from RNAcentral.